UACGGAGGGCGCAAGCGUUACUCGGAAUCACUGGGCGUAAAGAGCGUGUAGGUGGGUUAUUAAGUCAGAUGUGAAAGCCUGUGGCUCAACCAUAGAACUGCAUUUGAAACUGAUAACCUAGAGUAUGGGAGAGGUAGAUGGAAUUUCUGGUGUAGGGGUAAAAUCCGUAGAGAUCAGAAGGAAUACCGAGUGCGAAGGCGAUCUACUGGAACAUUACUGACACUGAGACGCGAAAGCGUGGGGAGCAAACAGG
This 253-nucleotide ribosomal RNA is filed under the name uncultured bacterium. RNAcentral's name for it is "partial 16S ribosomal RNA". It matches the Rfam family "Bacterial small subunit ribosomal RNA", at positions 524 to 776 of the family's 1533-position model. The record is from RNAcentral.